GUGCCAGCCGCCGCGGUAAUACGUAGGUGGCAAGCGUUGUCCGGAUUUAUUGGGCGUAAAGCGAGCGCAGGCGGUUUCUUAAGUCUGAUGUGAAAGCCUUCGGCUCAACCGAAGAAGUGCAUCGGAAACUGGGAAACUUGAGUGCAGAAGAGGACAGUGGAACUCCAUGUGUAGCGGUGAAAUGCGUAGAUAUAUGGAAGAACACCAGUGGCGAAGGCGGCUGUCUGGUCUGUAACUGACGCUGAGGCUCGAAAGCAUGGGUAGCAAACAGGAUUAGAUACCCUGGUAGUCCAUGCCGUAAACGAUGAGUGCUAGGUGUUGGAGGGUUUCCGCCCUUCAGUGCCGCAGCUAACGCAUUAAGCACUCCGCCUGGGGAGUACGACCGCAAGGUUGAAACUCAAAGGAAUUGACGGGGGCCCGCACAAGCGGUGGAGCAUGUGGUUUAAUUCGAAGCAACGCGAAGAACCUUACCAGGUCUUGACAUCCUUUGACCACUCUAGAGAUAGAGCUUUCCCUUCGGGGACAAAGUGACAGGUGGUGCAUGGUUGUCGUCAGCUCGUGUCGUGAGAUGUUGGGUUAAGUCCCGCAACGAGCGCAACCCUUAUUACUAGUUGCCAGCAUUAAGUUGGGCACUCUAGUGAGACUGCCGGUGACAAACCGGAGGAAGGUGGGGACGACGUCAAAUCAUCAUGCCCCUUAUGACCUGGGCUACACACGUGCUACAAUGGAUGGUACAACGAGUUGCGAGACCGCGAGGUUUAGCUAAUCUCUUAAAACCAUUCUCAGUUCGGAUUGUAGGCUGCAACUCGCCUACAUGAAGCCGGAAUCGCUAGUAAUCGCGGAUCAGCAUGCCGCGGUGAAUACGUUCCCGGGCCUUGCACACACCGCCCGU
RNAcentral lists this ribosomal RNA (892 nucleotides) under uncultured bacterium. RNAcentral describes it as "bacterial SSU rRNA". It matches the Rfam family "Bacterial small subunit ribosomal RNA", at positions 505 to 1397 of the family's 1533-position model. The record is from RNAcentral.